RNAcentral lists this ribosomal RNA (510 nucleotides) under uncultured bacterium. Its description in RNAcentral is "partial 16S ribosomal RNA". It matches the Rfam family "Bacterial small subunit ribosomal RNA", at positions 28 to 507 of the family's 1533-position model. The record is from RNAcentral.
GACGAACGCUGGCGGCGUGCUUAACACAUGCAAGUCGAACGAAGAGCGCUGGCUGCUUUCUUCUAUCCGUCUUAGUGGCGAACGGGUGAGUAACGCGUAAUCAACCUGCCCUUCAGAGGGGGACAACAGUUGGAAACGCCUGCUCAUACCGCAUACGCUCUAAUCUCGGCAUCGAGUAUAGAUGAAAGGUGGCCUCUACAUGUCACCUAUCACUGCAGGAUGGGAUUGCGUCUGAUUAGCUAGUUGGAGGGGUAACGUCCCACCAAGGCGAUGAUCAGUAGCAGGACGGAGAUGAUGAACAGCCACAUUGGGACUGAGACACGGCCCAGAGUGCUACGGGAGGCAGCAGUGGGGAAUCGUCCGCAAGGGACGAAAGUCUGACGGAGCAACGCCGCGUGAGUGAUGACGGACGUCGGGUUGUAAAGCUCGGUUAAUCGGGAGGAAAGGCCUUCUGGCGAAUAGGGAGAAGGAUUGACGGUACCGGAAGAGAAAGCCACGGCUAACUACGUG